This 700-nucleotide ribosomal RNA is filed under the name Leucoraja erinaceus (little skate). Its description in RNAcentral is "bacterial SSU rRNA". It matches the Rfam family "Bacterial small subunit ribosomal RNA", at positions 803 to 1500 of the family's 1533-position model. Lineage: Eukaryota; Metazoa; Chordata; Chondrichthyes; Rajiformes; Rajidae. The record is from RNAcentral.
UAAACGUUGGGCGCUAGAUGUGGGGACCAUUCCACGGUUUCCGCGUCGUAGCUAACGCAUUAAGCGCCCCGCCUGGGGAGUACGGCCGCAAGGCUAAAACUCAAAGGAAUUGACGGGGGCCCGCACAAGCGGCGGAGCAUGCGGAUUAAUUCGAUGCAACGCGAAGAACCUUACCAAGGCUUGACAUAUACGAGAACGCUGCAGAAAUGUAGAACUCUUUGGACACUCGUAUACAGGUGGUGCAUGGUUGUCGUCAGCUCGUGUCGUGAGAUGUUGGGUUAAGUCCCGCAACGAGCGCAACCCUCGUCGCAUGUUGCCAGCACGUUAUGGUGGGGACUCAUGUGAGACUGCCGGGGUCAACUCGGAGGAAGGUGGGGACGACGUCAAAUCAUCAUGCCCCUUAAGUCUUGGGCUUCACGCAUGCUACAAUGGCCGGUACAAAGGGCUGCGAUGUCGUAAGGCGGAGCGAAUCCCAAAAAGCCGGUCUCAGUUCGGAUUGAGGUCUGCAACUCGACCUCAUGAAGUCGGAGUCGCUAGUAAUCGCAGAUCAGCAACGCUGCGGUGAAUACGUUCCCGGGCCUUGUACACACCGCCCGUCAAGUCAUGAAAGUCGGUAACACCCGAAGCCGGUGGCCUAACCGUAAGGAGGGAGCCGUCGAAGGUGGGAUCGGUGAUUAGGACUAAGUCGUAACAAGGUAAA